Molecule: ribosomal RNA, 98 nt
Filed under: Mesocricetus auratus (golden hamster)
Lineage: Eukaryota; Metazoa; Chordata; Mammalia; Rodentia; Cricetidae
Source: RNAcentral
CUCUAUGUCCAUACCACCUUGAACAUGUCUUAUUUUAUUCAGUCUUGGAAACUAAGCAGGUUCAGUCCUGAUGAGAAGUUGGAUAGGAGAUAUUAAGU